Molecule: ribosomal RNA, 496 nt
Filed under: uncultured bacterium
Lineage: Bacteria
Description: partial 16S ribosomal RNA
Rfam family: Bacterial small subunit ribosomal RNA
Source: RNAcentral
GAUGAACGCUGGCGGCGUGCCUAAUACAUGCAAGUCGAGCGAACAGACGAGGAGCUUGCUCCUCUGACGUUAGCGGCGGACGGGUGAGUAACACGUGGAUAACCUACCUAUAAGACUGGGAUAACUUCGGGAAACCGGAGCUAAUACCGGAUAAUAUAUUGAACCGCAUGGUUCAAUAGUGAAAGACGGUUUUGCUGUCACUUAUAGAUGGAUCCGCGCCGCAUUAGCUAGUUGGUAAGGUAACGGCUUACCAAGGCAACGAUGCGUAGCCGACCUGAGAGGGGGAUGGCCCACCUGGAACUUGAGACACGUCCCAACUCCCACGGGAGGCAGCAGUAGGGAAUCCUUCGGCAUGGGCGAAAGGCUUACGGAGCCACGGCGCGGGGGGUAAUAAGGGUCUCGGAUUGGAAAACCCCUUUUUUAGGGAAGAACAAAAGGGGAAGGAACCAUGCACGUCUUGACGGUACCUAAUCAGAAAGCCACGGCUAACUACGUG